AACGAACGCUGGCGGCAUGCCUAACACAUGCAAGUCGAACGGAAACACCGUGCUUGUUUGCGCUUCUGGGGGGGCGAACGGGGAAGUGACACGUAAGUAACGUACCCUUCACUUUCGGGGGACUUAACGAAGGUAGACCUAAUCCCAGAUAGGAUCUCCUGCUGCAGGGUGGGCAUGGGAAAGUUUCGGCGGUUGGGGUUGGACGGGCGGAUGAUUGGCUUGUUGGUGGGCGAGUGGCAUACCGAGGCUGGGACGGGUAGCCGGCAGGGGAGGGUGACCGGCGACAAUGGGACUGAGAUAGGGACCAGACUCGUACGGGGGGCAGCGGUGGGAAAUAUUGCACAAUGGGAGGAAGCGUGAGGCAGCAGCGCCGCGGGCGGGAUGACGGUCUUCGGGUUGUAAAAAGCUUUCGCUUGUGACCAAGCGGGUGUGACGGUAACCGGCAAAGAAGCACCGGCUAACUACGUG
Molecule: ribosomal RNA, 468 nt
Filed under: uncultured bacterium
Lineage: Bacteria
Description: partial 16S ribosomal RNA
Rfam family: Bacterial small subunit ribosomal RNA
Source: RNAcentral